This 374-nucleotide long non-coding RNA is filed under the name Phoenix dactylifera (date palm). RNAcentral describes it as "long non-coding RNA (PDAC_LNC022393)". Lineage: Eukaryota; Viridiplantae; Streptophyta; Magnoliopsida; Arecales; Arecaceae. The record is from RNAcentral.
AACCUUCUACGUACAAUUAGGAUUUAUACCAGGACCCCCGUAGUAGAAGUAACCAUUGUUCUUAUGGUGCACAUUAUAGCAGUUGGCUCCUGUAGCGAAAGUGCGAACCCCUCGAGGAGCUUGAAGUUGGUCGGACUUAUCAACUAUUCGUAUGUUUUUAAAGAAGCUCGCCUUGCCAAAACCUUCUUCUGGGAAAUGGCCACUGCCCAUCUCCGUGGAGGUGUGCUGACCUUUUGAAUAUAAGUUCACAACCUCCCCUCCCCAUUGUAUCUCUGAGGCACUAUCAGACAGAUGAGGGAAUAAGGAAGAAGGCCAGUACCCCACUGGAGAUUGAUUCCCAUACUGCAGCCACCAAUUCCCCAUUUUUGGAUCCU